This 253-nucleotide ribosomal RNA is filed under the name uncultured bacterium. RNAcentral describes it as "partial 16S ribosomal RNA". It matches the Rfam family "Bacterial small subunit ribosomal RNA", at positions 524 to 776 of the family's 1533-position model. The record is from RNAcentral.
UACGAAGGGGGCUAGCGUUGCUCGGAAUCACUGGGCGUAAAGGGUGCGUAGGCGGACAUUUAAGUCAGGGGUGAAAUCCCAGAGCUCAACUCUGGAACUGCCUUUGAUACUGGGUGUCUUGAGUAUGGAAGAGGUGAGUGGAAUUCCGAGUGUAGAGGUGAAAUUCGUAGAUAUUCGGAGGAACACCAGUGGCGAAGGCGGCUCACUGGUCCAUUACUGACGCUGAGGUGCGAAAGCGUGGGGAGCAAACAGG